Molecule: ribosomal RNA, 775 nt
Filed under: uncultured Neocallimastigales
Lineage: Eukaryota; Fungi; Neocallimastigomycota; Neocallimastigomycetes; Neocallimastigales
Description: partial large subunit ribosomal RNA
Rfam family: Eukaryotic large subunit ribosomal RNA
Source: RNAcentral
UAUCUCUGUAGAGUCUGCAUAUCAAUAAGCGGAGGAAAAGAAACUAACAAGGAUUCCCUUAGUAACGGCGAGUGAAGCGGGAAGAGCUCAAAUUUGAAAUCUUCAAGGUUCUACCUUGACGAAUUGUAGUUUAAAGAAGUGUUUUCUGUUAGAUGAGUAGCAAAAGUUCCUUGGAAUGGGACAUCAUAGAGGGUGAGAAUCCCGUAUUUGACCGUUACUUUCCAGCUGUGUGAUACACUUUCAAAGAGUCGGAUUGUUUGGGAAUGCAGUCCAAGAUGGGUGGUAAAUUUCAUCUAAAGCUAAAUAUUGGCGAGAGACCGAUAGCGAACAAGUACCGUGAGGGAAAGAUGAAAAGAACUUUGAAAAGAGAGUUAAACAGUACGUGAAAUUGUCAAAAGGGAAGCGUUUGACACCAGUGUUGUUUUUCCCAAAAUCAAUUACGAAUGGCUUGAUUUUGUGUUGUAUUGACCUUAUCAGCUUUCUGCACUUUUUUCGAGUCUUUCUUAAUGCACUUUUCGGUUAACAAGUCAACAUCAAUUUCUUUUGUUGUAAAAGAGUAUUCGGAAGGUGGCUUUCUUUUCGGAGAAAGUGUUUAUAGCCCUAUACUUCUACAAUCGGAGAGAUUGAGGUCCGCAGCGUAGAUCCUUCGGGGCUAGAUACAUUUAUGCUAAGUUAUAGCUUUUCAUAGACAACUUGUUGACUAUGUUUAGUCAUGUAGCUUACUCGUAAGUGCUAUUUUACCUACGCUUAGGAUGUUGACUGAUAUGUAGUCGUA